UACGUAGGGUGCGAGCGUUGUCCGGAUUUAUUGGGCGUAAAGAGCUCGUAGGCGGUUUGUCGCGUCGGCCGUGAAAUCUCCACGCUUAACGUGGAGCGUGCGGUCGAUACGGGCAGACUAGAGUGCUGUAGGGGGAGACUGGAAUUCCUGGUGUAGCGGUGAAAUGCGCAGAUAUCAGGAGGAACACCGGUGGCGAAGGCGGGUCUCUGGGCAGUAACUGACGCUGAGGAGCGAAAGCGUGGGGAGCGAACAGG
This 254-nucleotide ribosomal RNA is filed under the name uncultured bacterium. RNAcentral describes it as "partial 16S ribosomal RNA". It matches the Rfam family "Bacterial small subunit ribosomal RNA", at positions 524 to 776 of the family's 1533-position model. The record is from RNAcentral.